CCGGCGCGACGGUGAGUAACGCGUAUGCAACUUACCUAUCAGGAGGGGAUAACCCGGCGAAAGUCGGACUAAUACCGCAUGAAGCAGGGGCCCCGCAUGGGGAUAUUUGCUAAAGAUUCAUCGCUGAUAGAUAGGCAUGCGUUCCAUUAGGCAGUUGGCGGGGUAACGGCCCACCAAACCGACGAUGGAUAGGGGUUCUGAGAGGAAGGUCCCCCACAUUGGUACUGAGACACGGACCAA
Molecule: ribosomal RNA, 240 nt
Filed under: uncultured bacterium
Lineage: Bacteria
Description: partial 16S ribosomal RNA
Rfam family: Bacterial small subunit ribosomal RNA
Source: RNAcentral